RNAcentral lists this long non-coding RNA (8159 nucleotides) under Homo sapiens (human). RNAcentral's name for it is "HSALNT0352874". Lineage: Eukaryota; Metazoa; Chordata; Mammalia; Primates; Hominidae. The record is from RNAcentral.
AUUUCUGUGAGAAUCAAUUAUAUAGAAGCACUGUAUUAGGUACAUAGCCAAAUGAAUGAGUGAGCAGGUUACUGCCUGAGAAGGCUUAACAGUCUAGUGGGGCAGAAAGAAGUGUUAUUAGUAUUACAGUGUCUAAAUGGUACAACAAAGCACUUGGGAAAGAGAGAAGAAAGAGAACAGGGCUUGAUUCAGAUGAACAGAAGAGUCAGGAUUCACAAAAGAGAGGUGGUCUUCACUGAGAAGAUGGGAGCUACUGAAAGGAUAACUGAGCAAAGCCAUGCCAGCCGCCAAUCCACUUGCAUAUUGUAUACUAAGCAGGCAGAAAGCCAGAGAAAGCUUCCAUGGGAUUUAUCCCCUCUCCAUGUGGCUUCAUAUGUGUAAGGAAAAUGGCCGUGCUUUAGUCAGGAACAGGCCGAGGCAGCCUUCUGAUGCAACAUGACUCAGAGGGUUUGGAGUGCAGGCGCACGGUUCCACAUGUUAUGUAACCAUGCCACAUGAGGCACAUUAUGUAACCACACCAUGUGAGGUGCAUUAAGUAACCACUCAAGUGCCCUCACGCUUGGCUUGGAGCCACUAUUGUCUGUAAAAGGUAUAACUACCUUGCUGAUGCUGUACAUAUGGCUUGCUUGUGCCCACAGCCCACUUGCACCCAGAGAGACAAUAAAGCCAUGUUGAAAUUCCUUGCAAUUCUUCGAAUGUUCUUUCAGCUGCCUGCCACUUGUCCACCCACUCCCCUCAGACCUCAGUUAGAACCUGACAAUUGGCACUAUGAGCAGAAUCCCAAGAUUUAGAAGUGGCAACACUCCUCUUUCCUGGGAUUGGAAUGGUGCAGCUGAGACCACUUUCCUGGCAGCCAAGCAGGCACAAGCCCUAUAGGUAAUUAUCCAGAGGCACCCAUUUAAACUCGAUGUGAAUGUGACCACAGAUAGUUUUGGCUGGAGCUUAUAGCAGCACAUGGAGCACUUAAGAAUGCCAGUUGGCUUUUGGUCCCGACUACGGAAAGGAGCUGAGCUCCAGUAUUCAUUGAUAGAGAAGCAGUUAAUAACUGCAUAUGCUACCCUUCAGGUUCAGGAGUGUGUGACCAGACAGGCUACAAUCAUUAUGUGCCUGAUUUACCCAAUAGCAGGAUGGGUGCAUUCAUGGGUAAAGACCCCCCAAGACUGGAACGGUGCAGACAUACACUUUGGCAAAGUGGGGCGCCUACUUGGAGCAGUGGAGUAUGCUGAGUACAAGUCCCUUAUCAGCAGAGUUGCAAGAGGUCUUGGGACCUGCAGCCCUAAUGCAAGAUAAGGCCAUGGGGCCUGAGGCACCCCUAGACCCUGAGCCUUCACCAUUUAAGGAAGGGCAUCCCCUCAUUCCUGAUGGGGCAUGGUACACAGAUGAGUCUAACCAAGGUGCUGCUAUUUGGACCACUGUUACCGUCCAGCCUAGUACUGAUACCAUGCGGUAUGAAACUGGAUGUAGGUGAAGUAGCCAAUGGGCUGAAUUUAGAGCAAUCCUGAUGGUGAUCACCAAGGAGGUGACACCUGUGGUAAUCUAUACUGAUAGCUGGGUGAUCUGUCGAGGCUUAACCUUGUGGUUAACCACUAGAAGUUACAGAAGUGGCCAGUUGGUCACCAGCCCAUGUGGGGCCAAGCCAUGUGGCAAAACCUAUGGGAGGAAGGAUGACUUCCUCUGACCAGGUAUGGAGACAAAUGGUAACCUGUUGUUGCCUGCCCCAACACCCCUGAAGGCAGGGGAACAGAAAACCUGGCUGUGGCCAUGGACCUUCCAAGCCCCCCACUGUUGGUGGUUGGCUGUCAUAGCUCCCUGUGGAGAGGGCCUACAGUAUGACUUGCAUGUCAUUCCUUGGGUGUUCAAUACAUGGUCCCCAUGGUUGACUGUUCACAGGAAUAUCCAGGGAAGGAACCCUCCUCCGGGGGACAUAUAUGCUGUCUGUGUGGCCUAUUAUGAGCUCCCCCAUCCAUGACUUUGGCAUGGAUACAGGACCCAAAGGAACCACGGGGAGCUGAGAAGGUGUGGUAUCAUCGCUCAGGGCAAAAGCUCUUGGCAGAUGCAUUGUCAUCCAGGGAUGAAAGGUUAGCCUGUAUUUUGCCCAAGGGACAUGAUUUACCUCUGUUAGUACCUGUGCCUGCUCUGUCAUUUCAACCAUAGGUUAACAUGCUCUAACUGCAUUGUGGACUGGGCCCACACCUAUGCUGAGGUGACCAAUGUUUCCAACUGUUGGAACCAUACCACCUUUCCAGCAGCAGCUGCAGAUGGCUUGCCGUGGCACAUACAUUCCAUGUCUGCAGAGAAAUGGACAUGGCUGGAGACUUGUGGUCCCAUGGCCGAAGCCUGGAAUACAACACAGCAAGCUUUGGACAAAGGAUGCUACAAGACCCAUGGUGCACCUGCCCCCUGGCUGGCCUGUAGCAUUUAUGACGGGUGGGCUGGCUAGUUGGGGAUUAUGUAGUACCCCCAGCCCAGGUGCCACAGUACAUACAGCAACACUGGGGCAACACCACUGUGGGAUAGGUACCUGUCACAAUCAGAUCAGAAAGAUAGUGUUGCAAAACUGAAUGGCUUUAGACAUAGUAACUGCUGCCCAAGGAGGCGUCUGUGCCCUUUUAGGAAAACAAUGUUGUACCUUUAUCCCUGACAGUUGGCAGAACAUAACAGCAGCCCUGCAAGGGGUCUCGCAGGAGAUUAAGGUGGUUAAGAGCAUUACUGACAACCCCCUGUAGAGAUGGUGGGCAUCUCUGGGCUCUGGACUAUGCUGGGCCCUCAUAGUCAUAAGUAGCAUAGCUGAGAUCCUAGUAGUGAGCUGUUAUUCUUUGUAUUGUGGGUUAUAGAUUCAGGGCUCUGCCCUAUGGGUAGGUGUCCCUGCCCCAGAGGAUGCCCUUAGCCUAGGGAGUAGAGUGUAAGGGAAAUGGCUGUGCUUUAGAAAUAGGCAGAGGUGACCUCUGGUACAGUAUGACUCAGCAGGUUUGGAGUGCAGGGACACAGCUCCACACAUGACGCAACCAUGCCACAUGAGGUGUAUUAAGUAACCACUCAGGUGUGCUUGUGCUUGGCUUGGAGCCACUAUUGUCUGUAAAAGGUAUAACUACCCUGCUGAUGCUGUACAUAUACCUUGCUUGAACCCACAGCCCACUUGUGCCCAGAGAGAGAAUAAAGCCACGUCAAAACUCCCUGCAAUUCUUCAAGUGUUCUUUCAGCUGCCUGCCGCUCGUGCACCCACUCCCCUCAAACCUCAGUUAGAACCUUACAGUAUGUUUCCACAAUACCUUCCUGAUGAGAUUCUUAAGCAUCAUAAAUUACAUUUCCAUUUCUUUCCAGGUACAAGAAGAUCAAUAACAACUUGAACACCUGGGUGUUUUUAGCCACCUUUAUGAAAGGUAGAAAAGCCAUUUUGAGAAGGCCGGCUGUGAAGGCUGGAAGGAUGAUGGUCAGGUUCCCAAACAGUGAAGACCAAGACCUAGAGCUUCCUAUCUCCCAAGAUCCUUCCUGACCUGCUACCUUUUAUUCAUUCUAGAUUCCCUCUACUAAGAGGGCUUUGGCUCCUUGCUUACAUGCAACAUGAUUGUUUUUAUUUAUAUUCAAACGUUUUGAUGGUCAAAGGCCCAGUGUGGGUGGAUGUUGAACUCCUGCAGUUACCAUUACAGCUCCUGCCAACACUGAUGGGCUCCUUCACACAAAAUUUGCUUGCUAUUGUCCCUGACUUUAGGUUCCCGGGGUUGGGGGGUUAUGGGAAAAUAUAGAGAGCACAAUAUUUCCAAACUUAAUUAAAAGAGCCCAGGAGCAAUGAGCAAAAUGAUAUCACCACAUGCUGAUGGAAUACUGAAUAACUGUUCUCUGGCUAGAGGCUCAAGCACAGCAAAGGCAGCUUUUUCCAUGCUUGGUGAAUGGACCAGGGCAUGAUCAUUCAAUCCCUGAGUGUGCAGCUGUGCUGCCUAGCACCCAGUAGGAUUUAUGCUUUAAUAAAUCCUUACUGCAUCUGGGAACUUUUAAAAAAAUAUCGAAGCCCAGGUGCCAUAUCCUGCUAAUUAAAUAGUUGAGGGAUAAGACCCAGGUAUCUGUUAUUUAAAGCUUCUCAGGUUAUUCUAAUGAAAGCACUGUGACUAGCAUCUUAGUUUGUGCUGCUAUAACAGAAUACCUGAAACUGGACAAUUUAUUAAAAAAUAAAUUUAUUUAUCACAGUUCUGGAGGCUGGGAAGUCCAAAAUCAAGGUGCCAACACCUGACAUGGGCCUUCUUACUGCAUUCUGACAUGGUGGAAGGACAAGACAGCAAACUAGCCAAAUGCUGCUGCAAGAAGCCUCUUUUCUAAGGGCCUUAAUUCCAUUAAUGAGGGAGGCAUCCUCUCGGCCUUACCACCUCUGAAAGGCCCCACCUCUUGAUACCAUCACAAUUGGCAACACCUGAGUUUUGGAGAGACCAUUAAAACCACAGCAAACGGUGAUCCAACGGAAAUAAACACAUUAGCAUCUAGGAGGGUCUUCUGUGCUUGAGAUGCUCUGUCCUUCCUCCUCAUUCGUUUCUAACAGCCCCACACAAGUGAUAACAUCACUGACAUGAAAUCUAAGAAGAUCACUUGCAGCUGAAAUCAAGUAGUCUUGCUCGUUUUUAGAGGGAGGCACAACACACAGCCAUGAGAGUUCUAGUGGUGAAGCAGGUAUAACUUUGGAAGUGAAGACCCACUGACCAAAAGAAAAUAAAAGAGAAUAGGUUACAUCAGAAGAUACUUUCUCCUCCAUUCUCUAUCAAUUUUCUUUUCAGAGAUUCUGAUGUGAUUGUGUUGGGGUGGGGCUUCAGAUAUAUAUACUUUUUAAAAGCUCCCCUGAUGAUUCUAAUGUAUGCAAGGUUUGAGAACUACUGGUCUAAGGUUCUCAAGCUUUGCUGUAUAUUAGAAUCAGCUGAGGAGCUUUGUUAAAAUCCUGAUGUCUCAGGCCACGCCCCAUGCCAAUUAAAUCCAAACCUUUAGGGAUAGGACCCAGGCAUCAGCGUCUGUAAAUCUCCCAAGGUAUUUCCAAUGUGCAAAUCAAAGUUGAGAACCAGUGCUUUAAAGUUCCCUACAGAUGAAAGAAUAGCAAAGGAGAAAAGGCCCUGGAUUCUAGGCUCUGCUUUGAUACUAAUUUGCAUGUAACCUUGGACAAGUCAUUUUACCAAUCUGGGCUUCAGUUUUCCCACCUGUGAAAUGUUAUCAACGACUUAUUAUGGCUCUAAUGCACAUCUUCUAUGAAUGUUACCACAGCUUUACAAAGCCAGCUCACUCUACCACGUGUGUUGCCUCCUACAGCUCUCUGCUGUUGAAAAGAGGUGGUCGCCUGCCUCGAGGAUUAACAAUCCUGGGCAUUGUUUCUAAAGCAGAAGGAUAUAAGGGCAUCCCAAGUCUUCCCUACCUCUCUAAUCAGAUUAAAGAUGUAAUGCAACCAUGGUCCUGUGUAGAAUAACUGUCACUAAUCAAUUUGGUCAAGAGUCACGGUCAGAACAUGGCCUGACAUGGUUUGGCUAUCACACGUGUAGAAAGAGCUGUGUUUGAUAGAGUCAGUGUUUGUUCUUUCACAGUACCCCAAUACGUCAGGCACAAACCCCCUGUUGAUCUAGACAGACUUGCAUCACUAGCUGUGAAUCAUCGAGAAUGGCAACAUCUGCAGCGGGGACCUCUAGGCCUGAAAUGCCCCACCACAUUCCUUAUUUAUUUCUAAUAGCAGUACACAAGCAACAUCACUAAAUGAAAGGCAAGGAGAAAAUAAUUAGCAACCAAGUGUCUGGCUCCUUGAUAACCUACAGUUGAGUGAGUUUGGUUGUCAGAAGACCAGGAUUCAAGCCUCAGUUCUCCCUUAUGCUGGCUGCAUGACUUUGGGUAAGCAAAGCUCUGCUAAUAAGGCUCUCAGGCUUUCAUUUCUAAAAUAGGGAUCAUAUCUGCUACUCCUCAGAAGGAUGUAGAUUGGAUGAAGCAACAUAAGGGAGAGCAUUUUGUAAGACACUAUUUCUCUACCUUUUUUCCCUUGGGCUCCCUUCUCUCAAAACACAUAGAAAUUCAUUAUUCUCUUCUGUGAUAUAAUUCUCCCACAGAUGGGUCCCAUUUGAUAUCCCAAACAUCAAGAUGCUGUAAUCUAACACACACGAAGGAUGCAAGCCGUGUGGAGAUGCUACCCAUUAACACAGGACUUAGGAGAAGGCAAUAAGGCAAUUACGAAAAAAAUCCCCAAUCUCAAUUCUGUAUGAGUGUUAGGUGUUCUCACAAAGGAAAGGGAAAUUAUUUCAUUAGGCAGAAUCCAAAUACUAUACAAAACAGAAAGGACAUGGUUUGUUGACAAAAGUGAAACUAUUCUGUGAAACAAAGGCAGCAACAGGGAGAUAGAACAGGAUUUUCCAGUGAGAAAUAAAAGUUGUUAUCAAGGUAACAAGGAUAGGCGUGGUGCUUUGCCUCCUUUUUGCUCCAGUUCUUCCAAACCAGGGAUACUUUUCAGACCAGGGAAAGCAAAUGCAUUCAGCUGUUGAAGCGCUGCUACACCAUCAGAUUUCAAAGACAGAAUCCUCUCCUUAUUCUAAAGGAGACCCAUUUCCACAUGUUAAAUACAAGUUAUUUGAAAAUGACGUGGAGGAUAGAAAUGAUGAAAAUAGUGACAGAGAGGAAGAGUUCUCCCAAGUUACAGAUGAGGACACUGAAAUUUAGAGGUUAAUCCCAUGUAAAGCCAAGAAGUCUGAUCCCAGACUCAGUCUUCUGUCUAUACUACAAGAAUGCUGUGGAAGACGUAUUGUCAAACAAAAAAUACUUGCACCAUUUAUCUGAAAAUCAGACUACUGUCAUCCACAGUAUAGCCCAAACAUAGACAAUAAUCAUGUGCUGAGUGCUUCAUAUGCCCCAGGGUAUCCUCAAUUUACCUAUAUUGACUUAUUUAAUUCAAAGCAACCCUCUGAGUAGAUGCCAUUAUUUCCCUAUUUUAUAGAUGAGGAAACAGAAUCACAGAGAUGUUAAGCAGCUGCCUGAGCUCACACAGCUAAGCAUUGUCAGAGCCCGAAUUCAAACACAGACCAUUGGCUCCAAAUCCCACAUUCCAAUGACUAUUUGAUACUGUACAUCAAUCAAAGACUAAGCAUUAACAAUAACUACCCCAAAACCCUGACAAACAUCUCACUAUGAUUUCUUAAGCCCCACUUGGAGCCUCACUGACUCUUAUUUAACAUCUAAUUCUCAACAAGUUUGCAAAGAACUUUCACGUGCAAGGCUGGCAUGAUCUGGCCCGUGCCUCCAGCUCCACCUUCAUCUUCUGCCAUUUCCCCUAUGCUCCAGCCUCACAAGCCUCUUUGGUGCCCUCCUUGGGGCCUUGGCACCUGCUAUUCCCUUUGCCUAGAAUGGUCUUUUCGUCAUUCCGUGCCUGUUGACCUCCUACUCUCCCUUUAGACCUCAGUUUAAGUGUCACUUCCUCAUGGAACUUUACCAUCAUUCUGCUUUUUUAUGAUACUUUUCUAUCAGAGCACUCACCACACAGUUAUAGACUUGUGUGAUUACUGCAUUUACAAGGCCAAGAGUAGUGGCAGUUCUGCUCCCCCCUGUAUUAAGUGUACUUGCUCUGGAACACAAUGGCUGUAGAAUAAAUAUUUGUUGGCUGCAUUAAUUAGUGACACUAUUACACAUUAAUCUUCAUAAUAAUGCUUGAAGAUGAGUGGACAAUGGUAGCAUUAAGCUCAUUUUAAACAUGAGGGUACUCAAGACCUGAAAUAUUUGGAGUGAUUUGCCAUAACACUAUUCCUAAAGUGGUGGAGCUAGAAUUCAACUCAUUCAAGGUCAGGUGGUCCAAGAGCCCAGCGCUGUCUUUUAUCCACUUGAUGCGAUGAAUAAAUAAUGAAGUGUGCUGUGUUUUCAAUAGCAAAUAAGUUGCAGACUCACAGGGUUAGACAAGCAUAUCAUCAAAACCAGAUCUAUGCCCAUUUGCCUUUCUUAUUUCCCCAGAAUCAGAAAACACGAAUAUUCUGUUUUUGAUUGAUAGUCACUGAAAGUCCACAGUUUUAGGCACCGUAUAGAACAAGGCCUUGGUUCCAAACAUUAUCUAACAAGAUAGAAGGUCAAAUUCAAGCAAUUUCAAGUUGUCCUUGGAGUUUAGUCCAAAAACCUUAAUGAUAUUGACUCAGCAUUUGUUUAGAGUCAACAGGAACAGUAACCAAAUGCAC